RNAcentral lists this ribosomal RNA (486 nucleotides) under uncultured bacterium. RNAcentral describes it as "partial 16S ribosomal RNA". It matches the Rfam family "Bacterial small subunit ribosomal RNA", at positions 30 to 507 of the family's 1533-position model. The record is from RNAcentral.
AUUGAACGCUGGCGGCAUGCCUUACACAUGCAAGUCGAACGGCAGCACGGGUGCUUGCCCCUGGUUGCGAGUGGCGAACGGGUGAGUAAUACAUCAGAAUAUGUCCUGUAGGGGGAUAUCGCCCGGCGAAAGCCGGUUUAAUACCGCAUGCGAUCUGCGGGUGAAAGCGGGGGCCUUGCGCCCCUCGCUCUAUGGUGAUCGCCGAGGGCGGAUUAGCUAGUUGGUGGGGUAAAGGCCUACCAAGGCGACGAUCAGUAUCUGGUCUGAGAGGAUGACCAGCCACACUGGAACUGAGACACGGCCCAGACUCCUACGGGAGGCAGCAGUGGGGAAUUUUGGACAAUGGGCGAAAGCCUGAUCCAGCAAUGCCGCGUGUGUGAAGAAGGCCUUCGGGUUGUAAAGCACUUUAGGCCGGGAAGAAAGCCUUGGACCUAAUACGGUGGGGGGAUGACGGUACCGGAAGAAUAAGCACCGGCUAACUACGUG